RNAcentral lists this unclassified non-coding RNA (216 nucleotides) under Hevea brasiliensis (rubber tree). The record is from RNAcentral. Lineage: Eukaryota; Viridiplantae; Streptophyta; Magnoliopsida; Malpighiales; Euphorbiaceae.
GAAGAAACAAAGCAAGUAAAGAUGAUUGUUUCAGUUUAGCAUAGAGAGGGAAGAAUUAGACUGGUUCAGUUAGCAGUUUUACAUUGAGCAAACGACUUUUGCGUUUGCUUUUCUCCUGUUGUGUUUUUAUUUAUGCUACCUUAAACACCGUUAAAAAUGCUCUUUGCUUUAUCGUAGGAAAGAACAAAGGUUGGAAAAAGUGUAUUAUGUUGGUGA